UUAAAUGAAGUAGGGUUUCCUAAAUGAGAGUGCCUGUUCCCUUUCCCUUCUUGACUGCUCAAUUCUCAUCUCUUCUCGUCCUUCCUUUGUUUUCGUUUUUGAUGUUUCAUCACCAGAUCGUAACCUUAUUGAUUUCUCCCCUCCUAUCUGACCUCUAUUCAGCUGAUUAAUCCAGUUUAUGUCUAUUUGCCAGGUGAAAAUAAAGUAUCUUUUCCAACUCUUUGCUUGCUUCUCUGAACUGUAACAACGUAUCCACUACUGAGUCGAUCUGCAAGGAACGCACCUAGAUUCAUCCAUGAAACUGUGACUCCUUUAUGUGGUUCAGCUGCCGAUCUUAGCCCUGUCGGGUUGUUGUUUCCAAGCUGACUUCUAGUCUGCUGAUUUUUCCAAAAUAUCAGCCAUUUGCCAAGUGAAAAAUUGAGUAUCCUGUACAUUUAUUUACUUGGUUUUCUUGGACUUUAACAUCAUCUCCAUGACUGAGCAGAUCUGCAAAGGAAAAGGCUAGAUGCGCCCAUAGAGCUUCGACUCCUGUUGAUGGAUGCCACUAUUAGACGUAUUUUCCUCUUUCCGUUCAUUUUUUGUGCUGUAUUGCUGAUUAAUGUUACUACUUAGUCUUGACCUGUGUUUGCCCUUUAUCCUCGAUCUGGCGUAAUCCUUAAAUAGGGACUUUGAUAUUUAUCACUAUUUACAAUUGCUUUACAUCUUUGAUGUAACUGGUUAGCAUUAAUGUAAGUGGCUGCUCCUGCAUCAAUAGCUAAAUUAGCUAGAUAAUCUGCUAACUUGUUUGCCAGCUUCCUGUUAAAAUCUUCUGCAUUAGUAGUGAAUCCAUUUGAAAUAUGACCUUGUCAAAAUGUGUAUUCCUGCAAUGUUUAGCUGCUUGAAGUAUUGCAUCUGCUUCUGUUUGCAAACUAUCUGUAUGUGUAUGUGUUUCUGCAUGAGCAUAUAUAAGAUCCCCUGUAUGAUCUCUCAGGCAAUAAGCAUAAGAACUCUUAUCUUCAGCUCCUCUGAAAGAUCCAUCUGUAUUAUAUUUAACCCAUCCCUGCUCUGGUAUCUCCCAUUGCACUAUUGUGACUCUCAUUUUGCAUUUAAUUCUGUCCAGCUCCUGUACAAUUUGUAGAAGUCUGACAUUCCUUGUAAUGUUAUGAAUGAUCCUCAGAACAGAUGUAUUCUUGUUAUCAUGUUUCUUCUUGUUCCUCCUCUUCCAAAUCUCCCAAAGUAUAAUACUAGGUAUAGCCUGAAAAUAAGGUUGUUUUUUCCCUUUAGCUCUUGCCUUCUACCAUGAAAUGACAGUGUUCCUCAAGGUUAAUCCUUAAACAGGUAUUCCUGCAAAAGAAGAAAAGUAGAAAGUAGGACCAAGUCCUGUUAGCAUAGAAAGGCCUUCUGAAAACAUGGGCUAUUGUUUCCACUGUAGGAUCAUCACAACACCAGUAUUUGGAUGGACCUUGUAAACCCCACCUUCUGAAAUUAUCAUCCACAGGGAUUUUGCUCUUCCGCAACCUCCACAUAAAGAAAGCAAUCUAAAAUAGCAAUCUUUUUACCCAUAUACCUUUAUCUCUGACAUAAUGCCAUGCUAAUCUCACUGUAAAUCUUCCUCGAGUUUUCAAACACCAAACUGGUAUAUCCUUUCCUUGUGCUAUUGGGAGGUGCAACCUUAUCCAUGAUAUGUUCAGCCAUGUCUGGUUUGAACAAUUUUAUAAGUGUUUCCUCAUCCCAUCUCCCAUCCUUUACCAACUGAUUUACCUAUUUAUACUGAUCUCUAAACUCCCAACUGCCAUCUAUUAAAGAAUAUAAUUCACCUUGACCAGUCCAAUUACCUAACCAUAUAUCUACAUUACCCCUCCUCAACUGCCAUACUAUAAGAUGUUCCACUAAAUCUCUUGCUAACAACAUUUUAUUCCACACUUGUGAACCACUAGCUCCUAUUCUCCAAACAGUCAUUGACGGAUGCUCCCUUUUAUAAUAUUUAUUAUACAUGUACUCACUCCAGAUGGACUUUGUAGUCCUGAAAUUCCACCCUAACUUGCAUAAGAGGGCCAUAGAAAUAUCAGUCAAUUUUCUAAACCCUAAUCCCCCUUUCUCCUUAGGUAAACAUACCUCCUUCCAUCUCACCCAAUGUCUACCUUUUUCACCUAUUCUGCUGCUCCAGAAAAACUGAGCUAGAGCCUUUUGUAAAGUGUUCAGCACAUUAAGAGGCGGAUUCAUUACUGAAAGGGAAUGAAUUGGUAUGCUUUGCAGUACAUGUUGGAUCAACACUGCUUUCCCACCAUAAGAUAACAAUUUCCUUUUCCAACCUUGCAAUUUAUUUGCUAUCUUAUUCAUCAAUUGCUGAAAGAAAUCUUUCUUCUCUCUCAUGUAGAAAAUUGGACAACCCAGAUAAUUAAAAGGAAAUUCUCCUCUUAGUAUACCUGUAGUUACUUCUGCCAUCACCAUAGUUCCAUUUGACACUCCUUUAUGAAUGUUUAAUGCACUCUUCCCUUUGUUGAUUUUCUGGCCUGGUACAGCUUCAUAUCCUUCCAAUGUUGAGGAUACUAUCUGUAAUGUUCUCAUUUCAGUUUUACAGAAGAUGAUCAUAUCAUCAUCAAAAGCUAAGUGAUUCAGCUUUGGACUUCCCCUUGCAUCCCAAACAACCUGAAUUCCUUAGUUAGCAUAAGCUUUUUCAAGUUGACUGAUAGAACUUCAGCAGCUAUGAUAAACAAAGUAGGUGAUAAAGGGUCACCUUGCUUUAAUCCUCUUGAAGACUUGAAAAACCCCUUAGGUUGCCUAUUUAAUAAUAUGGAGUACCAAUUAUUUUCCAGUAACCUAAACACCAUAUCAAUUAAUAUUUCAGAAAAACCCAUUUUCCUCAGAACCUUUGUCAAGAAUAACCAUCCAACCCUAUCAUAAGACUUCAUCAUAUCCAAUUUCAAGACCAUGUUAGGAGGUUUUCCUCUUUUUCUAAUUUAUUUGAAAAUUUCUUGUACAAUCAGUACAUUCUCAACUAUACUUCUAUUUUGUACAAAACCUGCCUGUUCUGGUGAAAUUAAUUGAGGAAGUAAACUCUUUAACCUCUCAUGAAUUAUUCUGGAGAAAACCUUGUUAACACAAUUACUUAGUGAAAUAGGUCUCAAAUCUGAAAAAGAAUUUACCACUAAUUUUUUUGGUAAUAAUCCCAAAUUGGUAUGUAUGAUAAAUCUUGGCAGAGUAUGUCUACAGAAGAAUGCUACCACCAUCUUCUGAAUAUCUGUCUUAAUGAUAUCCCAAGCAUCUUGAUAAAAGGCAGCAGUCAUAUCAUCAGGUUCCCAGCACUGUUCUUAUUUAGGCCCAUUACAACAGAUUUGAUCUCCUCUUCUGCAGGUUUCAUAAUUUCAGUAUUUUGUUCUUCAGUAAUCAAGGUAGGCACUUCAUCAAUCAUUGAAAAGUCUUCUGCAUCUCCUUCUUUGGUAAAUUGUUUUUGAAAGAAAAUGACAGCCGAGUCUGCAAUCUCACCUGCUUCUUCCACUCAUACUCCUUUUUCAUCUUGUAUUUUUUUUAUUUUGAGCCUGUUCCUUCUUCCUUUUACUAUAGUGUGAAAGAAUUUGGUAUUGCUUUCACCAUCUCUAAGCCACUCAUACCCAGCCUUCUGUCUCCAGUAAUCUUUUUCCUUUUCAGCUAAAUAUUUAACUGUGCAUGUGCUUUGAACAACCGCUCCCUAUUAGCUCCACUUGGAUUUUCUUUAAAUUGCUUCUCUUUUACCUUGAUAAUAUUUUCCAGGGUUGCAAUUUCUUGGAAUAUAUUACCAAAAGUGUUCUUGCUCCACCUUGUUAAAGCAGAUUUAGUGUUUCUAAGUUUCUGAUGAAACAUUAUGAAAGGAUCUCCUGUCAGUUCUGUUUUCCAGCUGUCCCUGAUAAUCUCCAAAUAAGACUCUUCCUUUAACCAUAGAUUUAAAAAUCUAAAAGGUUUGAUAAUCUGCUCCUUUUCCACUCUGCACUGUAAGAAUAAAGGAGCAUGGUCAGACACACUCCUUGAAAGGUGUUCAAUCUCCAUAAGCUAAAAAAUACUCUAUAACUUAUCAUUAACCAGUAUUUUGUCAAGCCUUUUGAAAAUGCACCUUUCAUCAGUUCUCCCAUUCCACCAUGUGUAUUUACUUCCUUUAUAUUGAGGCUCUUCCAUAUUACACAUACUAAUACACUGAUUAAACUCUUGAGUUUCAUUAAUUAUAACUGGUAAGCCCCCCAAUUUUUCCUCUUCAUGCCUUAUCAGAUUAAAAUCCCCCCUAUAAUCCAAGGACUUUGAUAAAUAUCAGCCAAAUCAACUAAAGAGUCCCACAAAAUCUGUGUUUCAUUAGAAUUACACUUAGCAUAUACCAAAGUAACAAUCACUAACAAAUCAACACUUUGUAGGAUUAUUGAUAACUGCUGCUCUUCGUCCUUCAAAACUGUCUUUUCCACAUCUUCAUGAAUAAAAAUGCCCAGAUUUUCCCAGACAUAUUCACUAAAGCAUGUGUCAGACUCAAUCUCCUCCUGUAAUCUUCUAUAUGAAUUCUAUCCUGAAAAGGUUCCAUGAUUCCUACAAAAUAGAAUUGAUAUCUCCUGUGCAUGGUGAUCAAUCUAGUGAAGGCCUUUUGAGUGUUUACAGACCUUAUGUUCCAUAUGAGUGCAUUCAUAAUGAUUUAGACUUGGUAGACUGACUCCUCGUAUUCAUUGCUGCUGAACUUGUAAUGUUGUUCCUUUUCUUUGUCUUCUUCUGAUUAGCCUUCAAGGCUAUUACUUGCUUUGGAGAUAAAUCUGCUUCUUUAGCUAUUUGAUCUAUAUUAUCAUCCAGUACAUUCUCAUCCAAAUCUUCUUUAUUCUUGUUGCAUGCUUCAACCUGGCCUUGUGAUGUUAUUGCCAAGGGUGAAAUCCCUUUCAGAACCAUCAAUUCCAUUUCCUCUGCCUUAUAAAUUUGCAUCUGCAUAUCAUCUUUACUCUGUUGUUAAAUGGAAACAUGUAACAAAAAGAUACUAUUAAUAGCCAUGUGUAAUAAUUUUCCUUCACAAAAAAAAAUUAAAAUACCAAAAAAGUCCUUGCGAGGACUACCAAAAUCAAGAUCCUCUAAGGCGAGAGUUGACACUAUCAUGUUAUGUCUUCGUUUAUGAGAUGUUCUACAACUCUUGCCUUAGAGGCAAGACUUAGAUCAAAGACUUUCAAACUAUAAAUUAUGCCCCACGGGCAAGAGUUGACACUAACACGUUAUGACUUCAUUUAUGAGAUGUUCUACAACUCUUGCCUUAGAGGCAAGACUUAGCUCAAGGACUUUCAAACAAUAAUUUAUGCCUCAUGGGCAACAGUUGACACUACCACAUUAUAUCUAUUUAUGGGAUAUUCUAUAACUCUCGCCCUAGAGGUAUGAAUUAUCUCAAGAAUCUUCAAACAAGUUACAUAUAUUGAGCAAGAGUCAACACUAACACAUUAUGUUUUUUACUUAUGAAAUGAUCUAUAACUCUUGUCUUAGAGGUAAGAAUCAACCUAAGGAUCAUCAAACAACAAGUUAUGCCCCAUGGUCAAGAGAUAAUACCAUCACAUUGUGUAUUGAUUUAUGAGAUAUUUUAUAACUCAAAGCAAGACUUAGACCAAGGACUUUUAAACAACAAGUUACGCUUCGCGGACAAGAUUUGACACUACCACAUUGUGUCUUGAUUUAUGAGAUAUCUUGAUUUGUGAGAUGUUCUAUAACUCUUGCCUUAGAAGCUCAAAUUUUUCCAUGGACUUUCAAACAACAAGUUACGCCCUAUGAGCAAGAGUUGACACUACUACAUCGUGUCUUGAUUUAUGAGAUAUUCUAUAACUUUUGCCUUAGAGGCGAGACUUAGCCGACAAGUUAUGCCCCAUGGACAAGAGUUGACAAUAUCAUAUUGUGUCUUGAUUUAUGUGAUGCUCUAUUAGUCUUAUCUCUAAGACAAAACUUAGCCUAAGAACCUCUCAAAAGAACAAGUUACGCCUAAUAGACAAUUGUUGACGCUACCAUAUUGUAUUUUAAUUUGUGAGAUGUUCUAUAACUCUUGUCUUAGAAGCAAGACUUAGCUCAAGGAUUUUCAAACAACAAGUUAUGCUCCACAAGUAAGACUUGACACUACCACAUUGUGCUUGAUUUAUGAGUUGUUCUAUAAUUUUUGCCUUGGAGGCAAAACUUUUCCCCAAGAACUUUCUAACAAUAAUCCAUACACUUAAAUUUACUUUGAUGUUAAAAAAAGAAGAUUUCUUUGCGGAUUAUUUAAUUUUUUAUUUAUUAGUAAAGUAUAAUAGAAGUUGAGAAAAAAAAAGAGAUCAAACAAAAUAGAGAAAUAAAAAGAAGAGUGAGAAAAAAAAAAAGACAUGAAAAAAAUAAAGAUUAAGAAAAAAGUGAAGAAUUAAAAAAAUUGAGAAAAACAAAAAUGUGAGGAAAAAAAUAAAAACAAAGUUUGAGAAAAAUGAGGGAAAAAAUGAGAGAUGCUAAAAACAAAAAAUAAAAGAAAAAUAAAGGUUGAGACAGAAAAAAAAAAAGAUGAAAUAGAUAAUGUUUGAGAAAAAAAAAAGAGAAAAAAAUAAAUGUUGAGACAAAUGAAUUAAAACAUGAAAAUAAAAUUAAAGAAAAAAUAAAAAAUUGAAAAUAAUAAUAAUAAAAAUAGAAUUUGAGAGACAAAUGAGUGUGCAAAUUUUAAAAAUAUUUAAGUUGUAGAGAGACAAAAUUGUACUUGUACUAUACUUAAAAAGGAAGUAAUGCUAGUCAAGACUUUUCUUAUUGAGAUAAGAAAUUCCAAGUCACCCACCAUUGGAGCUAUACUAUGUAAUUUUCUGAAUAUGAGGGCCGUUUAUAUAGUUAACUUGAUGAAUAAUUACCCAUAAAGUAAAGUGCUAAAGUAAAUGUAAAUUUCGAUGACAAAUUUAGGGGAAUUUUAUUCCUUUUCUCUUUUAUUGAGCUUAGGGGUGUGCAUCGGCCGAUUCGAUUCAAUUUUAUGUAUUAUUGGUUUGGUUUUCGGAUUUUAAAUAUGCAAAACCAAUAACCUAUCAAUAAGAUAUUUUCUUAUCGAUUUUUGGUUUAUCGGUUUUUGAUGCUUAAUGGUUCGAUUUUUGGUUUAACCAAUAAGAAAAUGUUCAUUAAAUAAAAAUAGUAACAACUAAUAUAAAAAAAUGAAAUCUUAGUUGCCGCCAAAAUCAUACGCAAUGCAUUUUAGUUUAAAAGAAUCUUCAAACUUGAACUGAAUGUUGGUUCGAAAAAAAACUGAAUCUUUAUUGUUGGAAGCUACUAAAUGCUUCAAGCUUUCCAAUACAACAAUACCCGAGCUUUGUAUUGUGCCUUUGUUUCCCUGAAUAGGUUAAUACUUUGUGAAUCUUUGAAUUAUGAUUAUGUAGUGUGUUUGUGAGUGUAUGUGUGAGUGUGUGUAUAUAUAUAACACAAAUAGGAGUAAAACAAUAACUUAUUUUAUCUUUAUUAAGCUAAAACCGAAACCGAACCAUUUACCCAAUAAUUUUUUUUAUAAAACCAAUAAAAAAUCGUUAAUCUAAUACCAAUAAUCCAAUAACAUUUUUAUCAAUUCGAUUUAUCAAUCGGUUCAAUUUUUGCACACCGCUAAUUGAGGUGAACAAAAAUUUCAUGAAGAGGCCCAAGAGAUGAGCAGGUCAAAAGCCUAAAAAUUUAAAGCCCAAAGUGAAAGUAGCGGACUGGUGGGCGAGCACAUUCAUGAUUCGCUCGUCACGUAGACAACAGAAAGAGGAAAAGCCGCAAGGCUAAUCGGAGAGCUAGUGACCGACGUCCCAACAUAUUUCACUUGCAAGUGGCUGCUUUGUGGCGAACCCUGAAUUCAAAAUUUUCAACUCCAAAGUAAUCUCCAAUUUUCUCUGUUUAUGCUGGGGUUUUUUUGCUUUGUGAAUUCGUCUGUUUUAUAUCUUCUUUUAUGGAUUGCUUUAUGGGUUUAUGGACAAAUCUUUAGCUUAAAAGGCGGCAUCUUUUGUUCUUAGUUGUAUGAUUACAUUUACACACUACUAAAUGGAGAAACCAAUAAUAGAAAUUUAGGAAGCUGGGAAUGGACUUAGAUUGAGAUUUUAUUAUUUAUGACAAUUUUCUUGCACCUUACCCUGCAAUUUGUAGUUUAAACCGAGAAUCAGAUCUUUCUUGUAACUCCCAGUCGGUAAUGUCUAUCCAUGAGCACCCCAAGUAGUGUUCAUAUUGGUUUUACUAAGGGUAGCAUUACAAAGCCAACAACCUUGUGGUGUACUUAAGGGUGUGGUCUAGUGGUCAAUGAAGUGGGCCAGAACCAUGAGGGCUCAGGCUCAAACCCUAGCAUAGACAAAAAUCCCAAUAAAAGCAAAAAAUACUAGGUGAUUCUUCCUAUCUGUCCGAGCCUUGGUGAACAAAGUUACCUAGUAUCCGUUGUUGGUGAGAGGUGGCACCAUAUCCUAUGGAAUUAGUCAGAUGCAUGAAAGUUAGACUGAAUACCACGGUUAUUAAAAAGAGAUCAAGAACCCUUGUGGCUUGUAUGAGCGUUGGAAGAACAUACGGGGGAAAAUUGUUCCUUCCAAGUUAGUUGUCGGAAUAUUACAUUUUUAAUGAUGUUUUCUGAACCGAAGCAUGUUUACCAAAAUUUCUGUUUUCUAGUUGAAGUAUCUGGUGAGAAGAUGAGUUCUCGGAAGAAGACAUCUUUCCAGAAGCAUAGAGAAGAGGAAGAGGCA
Molecule: long non-coding RNA, 8642 nt
Filed under: Capsicum annuum
Lineage: Eukaryota; Viridiplantae; Streptophyta; Magnoliopsida; Solanales; Solanaceae
Description: long non-coding RNA (CANN_LNC016711)
Source: RNAcentral